Molecule: ribosomal RNA, 253 nt
Filed under: uncultured bacterium
Lineage: Bacteria
Description: partial 16S ribosomal RNA
Rfam family: Bacterial small subunit ribosomal RNA
Source: RNAcentral
UACGAAGGGGGCUAGCGUUGUUCGGAAUUACUGGGCGUAAAGCGCGUGUAGGCGGUCGGGCAAGUCGGGUGUGAAAGCCCAGGGCUCAACCCUGGAAGUGCAUUCGAUACUGCCUGGCUAGAGUCCCGGAGAGGAUGGUGGAACUCUCGGUGUAGAGGUGAAAUUCGUAGAUAUCGAGAAGAACACCGGUGGCGAAGGCGGCCAUCUGGACGGUGACUGACGCUGAGACGCGAAAGCGUGGGGAGCAAACAGG